Molecule: ribosomal RNA, 778 nt
Filed under: uncultured bacterium
Lineage: Bacteria
Description: bacterial SSU rRNA
Rfam family: Bacterial small subunit ribosomal RNA
Source: RNAcentral
GAAUUUAGCGGCGGAACGGGGUGAAUAACACAUGGGCAACCCUUCCUUAUUAGAGGGGAAUUACCUUUUCGAAAGGGAGAUUAUUCCCGCAUUAAGAUUGUGUUCCCGCAUGGUCCAGCAAUUAAAAGGAGCAAUUCCCUUUGAGAGGGGCCCGCGGGCGCAUUAGUUAGUUGGUGAGGUUAACGGCUUCCACCAAGGCGACGAUGCGUAGCCGACUGGAGAGGGUGAUCGGCCACAAUGGGACUGAGACACGGCCCAGAUUCUUACGGGAGGCAGCAGUGGGGAAUAUUGCACAAUGGGGGAAACCCUGAUGCAGCAACGCCGCGUGAGUGAUGACGGCCUUCGGGUUGUAAAGCUCUGUCUUCAGGGACGAUAAUGACGGUACUUGAGGAGGAAGCCACGGCUAACUACGUGCCAGCAGCCGCGGUAAUACGUAGGGUGCGAGCGUUGUCCGGAAUUAUUGGGCGUAAAGAGCUCGUAGGCGGUUUGUUGCGCCUGCUGUGAAAACCUGGGGCUUAACUUCGGGAUUGCAGUGGGUACGGGCAGACUAGAGUGUGGUAGGGGUAAUUGGAAUUCCUGGUGUAGCGGUGGAAUGCGCAGAUAUCAGGAGGAACACCGAUGGCGAAGGCAGGUUACUGGGCCACCACUGACGCUGAGGAGCGAAAGCGUGGGUAGCGAACAGGAUUAGAUACCCUGGUAGUCCACGCCGUAAACGUUGGGCACUAGGUGUGGGGCCUUUCCAUGGUUCUGCGCCGUAGCUAACGCAUUAAGUGCUCCG